GACGAACGCUGGCGGCAUGCUUAACACAUGCAAGUCGAACGAGACCUUCGGGUCUAGUUGCGCAGGGGUGCGUAACACGUGGGAAGUUACCCUUAGGUUCGGAAUCACUCCCCGAAGGGGGAGCUAAUACCGGUUAAUGUAUUCGGACAAAGGAUUUCUCGCCUUUGGGUGGGCCCGCGUUGGAUUAGCGAGUUGGUAGGGUAAAAGCAUGCCAACGAGACGAUGCAUAGCUGGUCGGAUAGCAGGACCAACCAGACUUGGACUGCGACACGGCCCACACCGGUACGGGGCGGAGCAGUGGAGAAUAUAGGACACUGAGCGCAGGUCUGACACCGCAAUGCCGGGGGAGAGAGGAAGGGCUUAGUAUUGUAAAGCCCUUUUUCACGAGACGAUAAUGACGGUACCGGGUGAAUAAGCACCGGCUAACUCCGUG
This 433-nucleotide ribosomal RNA is filed under the name uncultured bacterium. RNAcentral describes it as "partial 16S ribosomal RNA". It matches the Rfam family "Bacterial small subunit ribosomal RNA", at positions 28 to 507 of the family's 1533-position model. The record is from RNAcentral.